RNAcentral lists this ribosomal RNA (497 nucleotides) under uncultured bacterium. RNAcentral's name for it is "partial 16S ribosomal RNA". It matches the Rfam family "Bacterial small subunit ribosomal RNA", at positions 28 to 507 of the family's 1533-position model. The record is from RNAcentral.
GAUGAACGCUGGCGGCGUGCCUAAUACAUGCAAGUCGAGCGAACAGAUGAGGAGCUUGCUCCUCUGACGUUAGCGGCGGACGGGUGAGUAACACGUGGAUAACCUACCUAUAAGACUGGGAUAACUUCGGGAAACCGGAGCUAAUACCGGAUAAUAUAUUGAACCGCAUGGUUCAACAGUGAAAGACGGUUUUGCUGUCACUUAUAGAUGGAUCCGCGCCGCAUUAGCUAGUUGGUAAGGUAACGGCUUACCAAGGCAACGAUGCGUAGCCGACCUGAGAGGGUGAUCGGCCACACUGGAACUGAGACACGGUCCAGACUCCUACGGGAGGCAGCAGUAGGGAAUCUUCCGCAAAGGGCGAAAGCUUGACGGAGCAACGCCGCGUGAGUGAUGAAGGUCUUCGGAUCGUAAAACUCUGUUAUUAGGGAAGAACAAAUGUGUAAGUAACUAUGCACGUCUUGACGGUACCUAAUCAGAAAGCCACGGCUAACUACGUG